RNAcentral lists this unclassified non-coding RNA (301 nucleotides) under Glomus sp. Its description in RNAcentral is "partial contains 5.8S ribosomal RNA, internal transcribed spacer 2, and large subunit ribosomal RNA". The stretch from base 1 to 71 matches the Rfam family "5.8S ribosomal RNA", at positions 84 to 154 of the family's 154-position model. The record is from RNAcentral. Lineage: Eukaryota; Fungi; Glomeromycota; Glomeromycetes; Glomerales; Glomeraceae.
GUGAAUCAUCAAAUCUUUGAACGCAAAUUGCACUCUCUGGUAUUCCGGAGAGUAUGCCUGUUUGAGGGUCAGUUUAAAUAAAAAUCUGUAUGUUCGCUGCCUUUCUUUGUGACGCGCCGUGUUUGUGUCGUCUUUCCUUCGGUUAAGUGUCCUAAAAUUUUUCAGGAGUUUUUCGAACGUAUUUAAAUGAUGUUACUUACGUUUGCGAUAUCGAAUACUGUGUGUUUUCAUCCUCAUGAUUCACGCCUAUAAUUUUUCAUCAAUAUGACCUCAAAUCAUGUCAGAGUACCCUCUGAACUUA